AUACCUUUCUCGGCCUUUUGGCUAAGAUCAAGUGUGGUAUUUGUUCUUAUCAAUUUAAUAUCUGAUACGUGAGCCAUUGGUUCACAUGAUAUUAAAUUGAUUUCUUUGAAGGGGAUAGCCCAUUAGAGCAUCUCCAAUGCACUAGGCAUAUAAUAUUUGUUAGUUAAAAUGCGUAGUGUGAUUCACU
Camellia sinensis is the source of this 187-nucleotide small nuclear RNA. RefSeq annotates it as U2 spliceosomal RNA. The record is from RefSeq and is a predicted model, not a curated record. NCBI's taxonomy places the organism in Eukaryota, Viridiplantae, Streptophyta, Magnoliopsida, Ericales, Theaceae.